UAGCACCCCUCCGUACCCCCCUGGUGCUGUCCUGCCCCCCUCGGUUCCUCUGUGCCCAACGGGACCCCCAGGGUGCCCCCCCCUGCAGCCCCCCUAUGCUGGGGUUCCCCCUCUGAUCCCCCCUGGGCUGGACAAGAAGGCGGCGAAGAAGAUGAAGAAGAGGAUGAAGAAGGCUCAAAAGAGGCACAAGCGCAAUUUGUCCUCCUCCUCUUCCUCCUCCUCCUCCUCCAGCAGCGACUCCGACUGAUGGCGGUGCCACCAUCGGUGUCCUGGGGCCACUUGGGGGCCACCCGUGUCCUCCUGUGGCCCCCCCACGUGCUGUGACUACCUGUGGGACCACCCAUGGGCACCUCCUGGAGUCCCACAGGACCACCCCUGACCACGUGGAACCCACGACCACCUGGGAGCAUCCGUGACCACCCCAUGUCCAUGUAGGAUCUCCUGAAGUCACUCAUGACCACCCCAUAUCUGAGACCUCCUGGGACCCCCCCACAACCCCCCCCAUGACCCUCAUGACCACCUGCGACCACCCGGAACCACUCAUAACGAACAUCACCGUGACCCGUGUUGAUCCAUGACCACCAGGAACUGUCUGGGACCACCCUGACCACCCCAUAUCCAUGUAGGACCUCCUGUCACCACCCCAUAUCCACCCCUGAUCUCCUGGGAAUCCCCCCCCCCUCCCGGCCACCCAUGGCCCAUGCCCACGUGGUGUCCCCAUAUUCCUUCACCCCAUGGGCUUGUUGGGGGGGUGUUUUGGGUUCAGUGGGUGUCAGCAUAUUAUGGGGUGGUCCCAUUGGGUUCUGUGGGGCCCCAUUGGGUUCUGUGGGGUUCUUUGGGGUCCCAUUGGGUUCUGUAGGGCCUCACUGGGUUCUCUGGCGUCCCAUUGGGUUCUGUAGGGCCCCAUUGGGUUCUGUGGGGUCCCAUUGGGUUCUGUGGGGUUCUGUGGGGUUCUGUGGUUCUGUGGGGUUCCGCGGUGUCACAGCUGCCGGGAUUGCUGCUGCUGCCUUCCAAUAAAGCCCUGAAACCCCCCCA
Molecule: non-coding RNA, 1035 nt
Organism: Phasianus colchicus (ring-necked pheasant)
Lineage: Eukaryota; Metazoa; Chordata; Aves; Galliformes; Phasianidae
Source: RefSeq, a predicted model, not a curated record